AAAUGAAUUGACGGGGGCCCGCACAAGCGGUGGAGCAUGUGGUUUAAUUCGAUGCAACGCGAAGAACCUUACCAAGAUUUGACAUGGAAGCGAUCGGCCUAGAGAUAGGUCUUCCCUACGGGGCGCUUCACACAGGUGGUGCAUGGUUGUCGUCAGCUCGUGUCGUGAGAUGUUGGGUUAAGUCCCGCAACGAGCGCAACCCUUAUCUUCAGUAGCCAUCGGGCAAGCCGGGCACUCUGGAGAGACUGCCGUGGAUAACACGGAGGAAGGCGGGGAUGAGGUCAAAUCAUCAUGCCCUUUAUGUCUUGGGCAACACACGUGCUACAAUGGCUGCAACAAAGCGAAGCGAAGCCGCAAGGUGGAGCAAAGCGCAAAAAAGCAGUCUCAGUUCGGAUUGCGGGCUGCAACUCGCCCGCAUGAAGCCGGAAUCGCUAGUAAUCGCGGAUCAGCAUGUCGCGGUGAAUACGUUCCCGGGCCUUGUACACACCGCCCGU
Molecule: ribosomal RNA, 494 nt
Filed under: uncultured bacterium
Lineage: Bacteria
Description: bacterial SSU rRNA
Rfam family: Bacterial small subunit ribosomal RNA
Source: RNAcentral